GCAAGUCGAGCGCGCCCUUCGGGGUGAGCGGCGGACGGGUGAGUAACGCGUGGGAAUAUGCCCUUCUCUAAGGAAUAGCCUCUGGAAACGGAGAGUAAUACCUUAUACGCCCUUAGGGGGAAAGAUUUAUCGGAGAAGGAUCGGCCCGCGUUGGAUUAGGUAGUUGGUGGGGUAAUGGCCCACCAAGCCGACGAUCCAUAGCUGGUUUGAGAGGAUGAUC
This 220-nucleotide ribosomal RNA is filed under the name uncultured bacterium. RNAcentral describes it as "partial 16S ribosomal RNA". It matches the Rfam family "Bacterial small subunit ribosomal RNA", at positions 57 to 305 of the family's 1533-position model. The record is from RNAcentral.